AGCAGUAUCCUGAGUACGGCGGGACACGUGAAAUCCCGUCGGAAUCUGGGAGGACCAUCUCCCAACCCUAAAUACUCCCUAGUGACCGAUAGUGAACCAGUACCGUGAGGGAAAGGUGAAAAGCACCCCGGGAGGGGAGUGAAAUAGAACCUGAAACCGUGUGCCUACAACAAGUUCGAGCCCGUUAAUGGGUGAGAGCGUGCCUUUUGUAGAAUGAACCGGCGAGUUACGUUAUGAUGCGAGGUUAAGUUGAAGAGACGGAGCCGUAGGGAAACCGAGUCUGAAUAGGGCGCCUUAGUAUCAUGACGUAGACCCGAAACCAUGUGACCUACCCAUGAGCAGGUUGAAGGUGCGGUAAGACGCACUGGAGGACCGAACCAGGGCACGUUGAAAAGUGCUUGGAUGACUUGUGGGUAGCGGAGAAAUUCCAAACGAACUUGGAGAUAGCUGGUUCUCUCCGAAAUAGCUUUAGGGCUAGCGUCGACAUUAGAGAUUCUUGGAGGUAGAGCACUGUUUGGGUGAGGGGUCCAUCCCGGAUUACCAAUCUCAGAUAAACUCCGAAUGCCAAUGAAUUAUGGUCGGCAGUCAGACUGCGAGUGCUAAGAUCCGUAGUCGAAAGGGAAACAGCCCAGACCACCAGCUAAGGUCCCAAAAUAAUUGUUAAGUGGAAAAGGAUGUGGGGUUGCACAGACAACUAGGAUGUUAGCUUAGAAGCAGCUAUUCAUUCAAAGAGUGCGUAAUAGCUCACUAGUCGAGUGACCCUGCGCCGAAAAUGUACCGGGGCUAAAACAAUUUACCGAAGCUGUGGAUACCUUUAUAGGUAUGGUAGGAGAGCGUUCUAUGUGUGAUGAAGGUAUACCGUGAGGAGUGCUGGAACGCAUAGAAGUGAGAAUGCCGGUAUGAGUAGCGAAAGACAGGUGAGAAUCCUGUCCACCGUAAGACUAAGGUUUCCAGGGGAAGGCUCGUCCGCCCUGGGUUAGUCGGGACCUAAGGAGAGACCGAAAGGUGUAUCCGAUGGACAACAGGUUGAUAUUCCUGUACUAGAGUAUGUAGUGAUGGAGGGACGCAGUAGGCUAACUAAAGCAGACGAUUGGAAGAGUCUGUCUAAGCAGUGAGGUGUGAUAUGAGUCAAAUGCUUAUAUCUGUAACAUUGAGCUGUGAUGGGGAGCGAAGUUUAGUAGCGAAGUUAGUGACGUCACACUGCCAAGAAAAGCUUCUAGCGUUUAAACAUACUCUACCCGUACCGCAAACCGACACAGGUAGUCGAGGCGAGUAGCCUCAGGUGAGCGAGAGAACUCUCGUUAAGGAACUCGGCAAAAUGACCCCGUAACUUCGGGAGAAGGGGUGCUGACUUUAAGUCAGCCGCAGUGAAUAGGCCCAAGCAACUGUUUAUCAAAAACACAGCUCUCUGCUAAAUCGUAAGAUGAUGUAUAGGGGGUGACGCCUGCCCGGUGCUGGAAGGUUAAGAGGAGUGCUUAGCGUAAGCGAAGGUAUGAAUUGAAGCCCCAGUAAACGGCGGCCGUAACUAUAACGGUCCUAAGGUAGCGAAAUUCCUUGUCGGGUAAGUUCCGACCCGCACGAAAGGCGUAAUGAUUUGGGCACUGUCUCAACGAGAGACUCGGUGAAAUUUUAGUACCUGUGAAGAUGCAGGUUACCCGCGACAGGACGGAAAGACCCCAUGGAGCUUUACUGCAGUUUGAUAUUGAGUGUCUGUACCACAUGUACAGGAUAGGUAGGAGUCUAAGAGAUCGGGACGCCAGUUUCGAAGGAGACGCUGUUGGGAUACUACCCUUGUGUUAUGGCCACUCUAACCCAGAUAGGUGAUCCCUAUCGGAGACAGUGUCUGACGGGCAGUUUGACUGGGGCGGUCGCCUCCUAAAAGGUAACGGAGGCGCCCAAAGGUUCCCUCAGAAUGGUUGGAAAUCAUUCGCAGAGUGUAAAGGUAUAAGGGAGCUUGACUGCGAGAGCUACAACUCGAGCAGGGACGAAAGUCGGGCUUAGUGAUCCGGUGGUUCCGUAUGGAAGGGCCAUCGCUCAACGGAUAAAAGCUACCCUGGGGAUAACAGGCUUAUCUCCCCCAAGAGUUCACAUCGACGGGGAGGUUUGGCACCUCGAUGUCGGCUCGUCGCAUCCUGGGGCUGUAGUCGGUCCCAAGGGUUGGGCUGUUCGCCCAUUAAAGCGGCACGCGAGCUGGGUUCAGAACGUCGUGAGACAGUUCGGUCCCUAUCCGUCGCGGGCGUAGGAAAUUUGAGAGGAUCUGCUCCUAGUACGAGAGGACCAGAGUGGACUUACCGCUGGUGUACCAGUUGUCUUGCCAAAGGCAUCGCUGGGUAGCUAUGUAGGGAAGGGAUAAACGCUGAAAGCAUCUAAGUGUGAAACCCACCUCAAGAUGAGAUUUCCCAUGAUUAUAUAUCAGUAAGAGCCCUGAGAGAUGAUCAGGUAGAUAGGUUAGAAGUGGAAGUGUGGCGACACAUGUAGCGGACUAAUACUAAUAGCUCGAGGACUUAUCCAA
RNAcentral lists this ribosomal RNA (2512 nucleotides) under Streptococcus pneumoniae. RNAcentral's name for it is "bacterial LSU rRNA". It matches the Rfam family "Bacterial large subunit ribosomal RNA", at positions 399 to 2925 of the family's 2925-position model. The record is from RNAcentral. Lineage: Bacteria; Bacillati; Bacillota; Bacilli; Lactobacillales; Streptococcaceae.